Molecule: ribosomal RNA, 646 nt
Filed under: Bacillus sp. CSu2_19
Lineage: Bacteria; Bacillati; Bacillota; Bacilli; Caryophanales; Bacillaceae
Description: bacterial SSU rRNA
Rfam family: Bacterial small subunit ribosomal RNA
Source: RNAcentral
GUCGAGCGGACCGACGGGAGCUUGCUCCCUUAGGUCAGCGGCGGACGGGUGAGUAACACGUGGGUAACCUGCCUGUAAGACUGGGAUAACUCCGGGAAACCGGGGCUAAUACCGGAUGCUUGAUUGAACCGCAUGGUUCAAUCAUAAAAGGCGGCUUCGGCUGCCGUUUACAGAUGGACCCGCGGCGCAUUAGCUAGUUGGUGAGGUAACGGCUCACCAAGGCGACGAUGCGUAGCCGACCUGAGAGGGUGAUCGGCCACACUGGGACUGAGACACGGCCCAGACUCCUACGGGAGGCAGCAGUAGGGAAUCUUCCGCAAUGGACGAAAGUCUGACGGAGCAACGCCGCGUGAGUGAUGAAGGUUUUCGGAUCGUAAAGCUCUGUUGUUAGGGAAGAACAAGUACCGUUCGAAUAGGGCGGUACCUUGACGGUACCUAACCAGAAAGCCACGGCUAACUACGUGCCAGCAGCCGCGGUAAUACGUAGGUGGCAAGCGUUGUCCGGAAUUAUUGGGCGUAAAGCGCGCGCAGGCGGUUUCUUAAGUCUGAUGUGAAAGCCCCCGGCUCAACCGGGGAGGGUCAUUGGAAACUGGGGAACUUGAGUGCAGAAGAGGAGAGUGGAAUUCCACGUGUAGCGGUGAAAUGC